Molecule: ribosomal RNA, 380 nt
Filed under: Bacillus subtilis
Lineage: Bacteria; Bacillati; Bacillota; Bacilli; Caryophanales; Bacillaceae
Description: bacterial SSU rRNA
Rfam family: Bacterial small subunit ribosomal RNA
Source: RNAcentral
ACGUCCCCUUCGGGGGCAGAGUGACAGGUGGUGCAUGGUUGUCGUCAGCUCGUGUCGUGAGAUGUUGGGUUAAGUCCCGCAACGAGCGCAACCCUUGAUCUUAGUUGCCAGCAUUCAGUUGGGCACUCUAAGGUGACUGCCGGUGACAAACCGGAGGAAGGUGGGGAUGACGUCAAAUCAUCAUGCCCCUUAUGACCUGGGCUACACACGUGCUACAAUGGACAGAACAAAGGGCAGCGAAACCGCGAGGUUAAGCCAAUCCCACAAAUCUGUUCUCAGUUCGGAUCGCAGUCUGCAACUCGACUGCGUGAAGCUGGAAUCGCUAGUAAUCGCGGAUCAGCAUGCCGCGGUGAAUACGUUCCCGGGUCUUGUACACACCG